This 488-nucleotide ribosomal RNA is filed under the name Enterobacter hormaechei subsp. steigerwaltii. RNAcentral's name for it is "bacterial SSU rRNA". It matches the Rfam family "Bacterial small subunit ribosomal RNA", at positions 45 to 522 of the family's 1533-position model. Lineage: Bacteria; Pseudomonadati; Pseudomonadota; Gammaproteobacteria; Enterobacterales; Enterobacteriaceae. The record is from RNAcentral.
GGCCUAACACAUGCAAGUCGAACGGUAACAGGAAGCAGCUUGCUGCUUUGCUGACGAGUGGCGGACGGGUGAGUAAUGUCUGGGAAACUGCCUGAUGGAGGGGGAUAACUACUGGAAACGGUAGCUAAUACCGCAUAACGUCGCAAGACCAAAGAGGGGGACCUUCGGGCCUCUUGCCAUCGGAUGUGCCCAGAUGGGAUUAGCUAGUAGGUGGGGUAACGGCUCACCUAGGCGACGAUCCCUAGCUGGUCUGAGAGGAUGACCCGCCCCCCUGGAACUGAGACACGGUCCAGACUCCUACGGGAGGCAGCAGUGGGGAAUAUUGCACAAUGGGCGCAAGCCUGAUGCAGCCAUGCCGCGUGUAUGAAGAAGGCCUUCGGGUUGUAAAGUACUUUCCGCGGGGAGGAAGGCGAUAAGGUUAAUAACCUUGUCGAUUGACGUUACCCGCAGAAGAAGCACCGGCUAACUCCGUGCCAGCAGCCGCGGUA